Molecule: ribosomal RNA, 476 nt
Filed under: uncultured organism
Description: partial 16S ribosomal RNA
Rfam family: Bacterial small subunit ribosomal RNA
Source: RNAcentral
UACACUCCUACGGGAGGCAGCAGUGGGGAAUUUUGGACAAUGGGCGAAAGCCUGAUCCAGCAAUGCCGCGUGAGUGAAGAAGGCCUUCGGGUUGUAAAGCUCUUUUGUCAGGGAAGAAACGGUGAAAGCUAAUAUCUUUUGCUAAUGACGGUACCUGAAGAAUAAGCACCGGCUAACUACGUGCCAGCAGCCGCGGUAAUACGUAGGGUGCAAGCGUUAAUCGGAAUUACUGGGCGUAAAGCGUGCGCAGGCGGUUUUGUAAGUCUGAUGUGAAAUCCCCGGGCUCAACCUGGGAAUUGCAUUGGAGACUGCAAGGCUAGAAUCUGGCAGAGGGGGGUAGAAUUCCACGUGUAGCAGUGAAAUGCGUAGAUAUGUGGAGGAACACCGAUGGCGAAGGCAGCCCCCUGGGUCAAGAUUGACGCUCAUGCACGAAAGCGUGGGGAGCAAACAGGAUUAGAAACCCGUGUAGUCCCAUG